AAUCAACUCAAAAUUAAAGUUCCUGCUUCAAUUGUGGAUCUUUUAUCUGCUGUAUUUCUAUUCACUUUAUGAUUCAUUAUUAAGGUUGUUUUAAAACAGAUAUGCCCUUCAUUGCCUGGUCAAGAGCCUCUGUACCUAGUAACCAUAGCUAUUGAUAAAAUUGACACUAUAUCAAUGUGUCUUGCAGAAGGCAUUGUAGGGUAGCAGCUGUUGAUCAGUUUCUCACCUCUAAGUGUUGAACCUCUAAUCAGAUCCGCAUUGAACUAGGUGAAGAUUUCUCAUUUCCCAGUAGACCAAAUCAGAUUAUACGGACAAAUCAGGUUCCUUCACAAAACAGAUUAACAUAGAGUAAUUAAUUCUGGGAUUUCACACGUAGCACUUUAAUCUCUCCAGCAAUAGUACAUCCCAGAGCAUAGGUUAACAAAUGCUAAUGUAUUGGUUUAUUUUAAUCUGUUAAUUCUGUUUUUCUUAAUUCUCCUUCUUGCUCAUAUACCUGGCUCGCAGAUUUGAUAAGAACUCCAUGUCGGACAAGGACUGCACAUCAAGAAGAGGAUGGAUCCUGAAACUAAAGAAAUCUAAAGAACAUCAACAGCUUUACGCAGGAGCCACGGAGGAGACCUCUGUCUUUGAUGAGGAUACCUCAGAGCCAUCAUCCACUUGUUUGCCAAAGAGUUGCAUGAUACAUGAACGGAACUGAUAAGGAAAAAAUAAAACAGUAUGUUACAAAUUUAAACCAAA
Molecule: long non-coding RNA, 738 nt
Organism: Sander lucioperca (pikeperch)
Lineage: Eukaryota; Metazoa; Chordata; Actinopteri; Perciformes; Percidae
Exons: 2
Source: RefSeq, a predicted model, not a curated record